This 488-nucleotide ribosomal RNA is filed under the name uncultured bacterium. RNAcentral describes it as "partial 16S ribosomal RNA". It matches the Rfam family "Bacterial small subunit ribosomal RNA", at positions 28 to 507 of the family's 1533-position model. The record is from RNAcentral.
GACGAACGCUGGCGGCGUGCUUAACACAUGCAAGUCGAACGGAAAGGCCCUGCUUUUGUGGGGUGCUCGAGUGGCGAACGGGUGAGUAACACGUGAGUAACCUGCCCUUGACUUUGGGAUAACUUCAGGAAACUGGGGCUAAUACCGGAUAGGAGCUCCUGCUGCAUGGUGGGGGUUGGAAAGUUUCGGCGGUUGGGGAUGGACUCGCGGCUUAGCAGCUUGUUGGUGGGGUAGUGGCUUACCAAGGCGUUGACGGGUAGCCGGCCUGAGAGGGUGACCGGCCACAAUGGAAGUGAGAGACGGUCCAGACGCCUACGGGAGGCAGCAGUGGGGAAUAGUGGACAAUGGGCGCAAGGCGGAUCCAGCCAGACCGCGUGGGUGAAGAAGGCCUUCGGGUUGUAAAGCCGUGUGGUUGGGAAAGAAAAGCAGCAGGUUAAUACCCCGCUGUUCUGACGGUACCCAAAGAAUAAGCAACGGCUAACUUCGUG